AAGCCUCCCCAGCUAUGCUUCCUGUACAACCUGUGGAACUGGCAAAUAUCAGAAUCACCUGGCGGUCUUGAUGAAACACAAGCUGCUGAGCUUUACUCCAGAAUUUCUGGUUCAGUAGGUCUGCAGUAGGACCUGAAAUUUUAUAUUUCUAACAAGUUUUCAGGAGCUGCUGAUGCCGCUAGUACAGGGCUCACAUUUUGAGAACCUCUGGUCUAGCAAGUUGCCACCAAGAAUGAAGAUUGGGCCAGAGAACAGGGCCCUUGCUGAAAAUGCUUCAGUGGCUCUCCAUGGCCCUUAAAGUCAAGUACAAAGUCUACAAGCGGAAAAGUGAUCUGCAAAGCCCUUCAGGAUCUGACCCCAGGGGAAAUUUGUUUUGCAACAGAAAACAUAAGAAAUUUUCCCUGCUUGGAAGAUACUCAUACAUACCAGGUAAGCCAGACAUCUAAAACCAAGAUGACGAUGAAACUUUUCAAGUUGACACAUCUUACGAGUUUUGAAUUCUUAUUACCUUAAACCCAUAUUUUCCACACUGUAUCUUUGAAGAAAAAGAAGGACAUCCUGAAGGCUAUUCUGGAACAAGUCAACAUUUUGAUUUCAAACAUCAAAAAAGGUGUCCAGAAAUCUCAAGAAUUUGAGACAUCCUAAGGAACUUUAAGUGCUGUGAGCCACAAGUAACAUCAAGAAAAGACAGGGAUGAAGAACCGCACUUACAAGCUAAGUAAGAUUAAACCCAGCAUGGAGAUAUAUGAAUUAAUAUGAACUCUGAGAAAGAAAUUGGUCAGCUAAAAAAUAUAUGGCUUUCCUGAAUAGACAAAAGAACAAAGAUUUUCCCUUUGGUUCAGUCAGCAUGACUGGAACUUUGAUCAACAAAUCCCCAAGAGCCACAACCCGUCUUUUGUGAACAAGUAGUAUCAAGGGAUUCGGCAGGAAGCUUGCACCGAGUGAAGGAUUUAUAAAGAUUAUAGGAGAUAACACAAAGCUAUUUUAUCUCUUUAAAAAAAAUCAAAGGAUUAGCUGCCACAAAUAUUAUCCCCCAUCUGGGCACAAGGUGUAAGCUCAUCCUACACAUGUCAUUUGGACCAGACCAAGGCUGCUGUCAUGGAGGACCCACACCACAGCUUGGGAACCAUUCAUCUACCAGAGGGUCACAUGACUUCAAAUGACUCUUCUAGGGGCCACCUGCCAUGAUAGGGUACCAGCUCUUCCUCUGAAUUCCCAAUCCAUUUCUUGAGAACUACUGUUUCUAAUAAGGGGGGAAGAAGGUCAUGUGGGAAUCAGUUAAAUCACGUGUGGAUAGAAGACAAGUUCCAGCUUUGUGGGAAAUCCUGUAGCCUUCGCCAGGUACACCCUGACAAUCUCAGAACUGAUCAGGGUUUUUGUUCCAUGUGAGAUACCCACGCCACUUUAAAAAACAAACUAUCCUGACAUCUAAUUACUUUGUGAAUGAUUGUAAUGGCAAUAACAAUAGAGAUGGAAGAAUUUUGGAAACAAUAUUUGCUCAAAAUGGAUUUGCAAAGAGAAAAAAAAUUUAAUGUCACACUGCCAUGAUAAGUCAACCAACCAUCUCAUAUAUCAAAGGAGAGAGGCAGAGAAAGAAAAGGAGGAGGAUAAAGAAGAGGAGGAAGAGGACGAAAGGAAAACCAAGAGGAGGAGAAGCCACUUCUUACUUUGGAUUAAUGUGAAACUAAAUAGUUUACUACAUUUUAAGUGGGAAAAUGUUAGUUGAAAAGAUAUUUGUCAACCACAAACAUUUGAAAGGGAAGCAUUCCAAAGAUUUUCACUGUUUAUGUUCAAAUUACAACAUGUGCAGAAAGUUGUGCAACUGAAAAUCCUUUCAAACAACAGCUACAAAAGAGAUUGGUCAGUUAGGACAGGAAUAGAAAGUGGAAACUUAGAAGACUGGCUACUCCUUGUGUAUGAUUGCUGGGGUGAGUCUGUGCUGAGAACUUUUUACAAAGGGUGUCCUUUGCUGAUAUGAGAGGGGGGUGUCAAACUUUUGAGUGAUCACUGUGGGUCCUCAGCUUAGACAUCUUCUCUGGCCCAAGAUGGCACCCCUUGCUCUCUUUCCAUGGGACACAGGGACCUUGCCAUCCUUCCAUCUUAUAAGCCUUCUGUCAUGAUUUUUACUUCAUCCUAGAUAGCCUUAAU
RNAcentral lists this long non-coding RNA (2148 nucleotides) under Homo sapiens (human). RNAcentral's name for it is "long non-coding RNA NONHSAT183520.1". The record is from RNAcentral. Lineage: Eukaryota; Metazoa; Chordata; Mammalia; Primates; Hominidae.